This is a small nucleolar RNA of Zingiber officinale, 142 nucleotides long. RefSeq annotates it as small nucleolar RNA snoR134. The transcript has a single exon. NCBI's taxonomy places the organism in Eukaryota, Viridiplantae, Streptophyta, Magnoliopsida, Zingiberales, Zingiberaceae. The record is from RefSeq and is a predicted model, not a curated record.
CUGCACGGUGCACCCCGGGCUUCUCUGAGACAUUCCGUGAAGGUGGAAGCCCCAAUGCUCGUGCUACAUUUAACUGCCGUUCAGUGUUGCAGUUCUGUCGAUUUUUCUACAUCUGAUCUGUGUCAAUGUAACGGCUAAAUCU